Molecule: unclassified non-coding RNA, 306 nt
Filed under: Hevea brasiliensis (rubber tree)
Lineage: Eukaryota; Viridiplantae; Streptophyta; Magnoliopsida; Malpighiales; Euphorbiaceae
Source: RNAcentral
GUAGUUACUAGUUCUAAUUCAGAAAAUCAAUUUUAUGUGCCUGUAACUCUUCAGUUGCCUCGGAAUGUGCAGCCAGAGAAUGGAGCUUCCAGUUCUAGACUAGGUAGCUCUCCAAGUAAUCCAAUCAUUGUUGGUGAAAGAUCGGCUGUUACGAGUGAGGAAACAAAUAUUAGGAGUAUGCUGAGCAGCAAUAGUUUGGAUCAACCUGCGUUUCGUGUAGAAACUGAGACAAGGCAGUCGGCAGCAGUGCCACCAAAUUGGGAUCUGGCCAAUGGAGGUACAGCCAUCCCUGUAACUGUUGCUCCA